AAAGAACAAAGUAGUUAUAGUAUAUUUUAUUCACCUAGAAACAAAGGGUCGAAAGUCACAGCAUGGAGGUUCAUUUUAUUUUGUAAACUCAUUAAAAAGAUGUCCAUGUACAAAAUAAGGACAUUUUCAACAACAGAACUGCAGACAAAGGAAACUAUAAAAAUUCAAUGCAUUAAUAAAAAGGUUUUAUUUUCUUUCUGCAUAAUUCCUUGCACCUUCCAUAGCAGUGUGCACGCACUCUGAAGUACAGUUGUUAGAAUCAUUAAAAUUCAAGAGGCUGAACAUGAAGCCAUUGCUCUGCUGGAGGAAUGUGCUGCUGAAAGAUCCAAACCCUGGAGCACGUUAACUAAAGUGAGACAAGGCUGAGGGACCUGGCUGAAGGCUGCUAAGAGGUUGCUGUGCAUUGAUCUGCUCACAGUUCCAGCUUGCUUUGCUUCCUGCAGAUACCUGGAACAGUCCUGGGGAGGAGCAGGGUCAGGCUGAGCAGGGCCUGGCCAGAGGUGGCUGCUGCCCUAACACAUCUAAUGCAAAUUAAAAACAUUGCUGCAGCCAAACAGCUGCCAUCCCAGCAAGUGUUAGCUGUGCACCAGUCUGAGCAGCUGCCUGAUUGGGAUUUAGGAUUCACUCCUCAGUCCUGGAUAUUCCUGAUUGCAAGUCUGGAACCCGUGAUACACUGUCCGUAACAGGUCAAUUAUAAAAUUUAAGCUGUGCUGAUUUGUAAUUUAAUUCAUCCCUGUUUCUCACCCCAAAAUAACUCCCAGCACUGAAAACCCAUGCCCUGCUUGAGGCUCCUGUCAGGGUUUCCUUCCUGUGUCCUCAGGGUAGGCCUGGCCUGCAGAGUCAGGGUCAGAACAGCCCCUGUGGGUCCCUGCAGUGCCCUCCAGGUGUGCCAGCCUCAGGAGCCCAGCAAACACCUCCCAUGGGCACAGAGCAGCUCCAGAGCCCGCAGGGGAUGGAUUCAGCUCCCCAUGGGCACAGAGCAGCUCCAGAGCCCGCAGGGGAUGGAUUCAGCUCCCCACGGGCACAGAGCAGCUGCAGAGCUGCAGGGUUCAUUGAUUCACGCCCAGCUCUGCUGUCCCUGGCAGGCCGCAGUGCAAGAAGCAGCCCCUGCCCCAAGGCACUGCCCG
RNAcentral lists this long non-coding RNA (1127 nucleotides) under Zonotrichia albicollis (white-throated sparrow). Its description in RNAcentral is "lncRNA (ENSZALG00000013730.1)". The record is from RNAcentral. Lineage: Eukaryota; Metazoa; Chordata; Aves; Passeriformes; Passerellidae.